Non-coding RNA from Physcomitrium patens, 3249 nucleotides. The record is from RefSeq and is a predicted model, not a curated record. NCBI's taxonomy places the organism in Eukaryota, Viridiplantae, Streptophyta, Bryopsida, Funariales, Funariaceae.
UUCUCCUCGUCCCCUUCUCCCCAAUCCAUGAGAAGAGUGCUCCCCAUACUUGACCAGACCCCUCGUCGUCGCCACUCAAUUUUCCCUCUACAAGUACCCGCCCUUGAAUAUUUUAGCGGUUAUUUCUGUGUAGUUUGUAACAUUCCAAUACGUUGUUUGUAUUUUGCUUGUGCACGGCAAUUCUAUGACGGUGAAUCGGAGACAUCAGACUGCCCUUGCCAGAAGCUUAGUGGUGGGAAGAAGAAGCCUGUUUAGGUUUCGCGGUUGAGAGCAGCUGGAAGCAUUCAAUGGAGUCAGUUUUUGGAGUGUGGUUUGGUGACAGAACUGGAGAGGGGUUGGAAUUGAACUCCUGAAUGGAAUUGCUGCUUUGUUUCGAAUGGCUGGGGUUACUGAGCGUGGACAUGGAUGACUGCAUCAUUUUCGGUUGUAUGAUGGUACAAUUGUUUGAAGUUAAGUGUUGAGAGAGACGAUGGCUCGGUCGAAAGUUAAAAUUACGCCGCUUGGAAGGAGAGCACAGAACAAUCGACAGCGAUUAGAGGGUUCGGUGAGGAUCGCAGGUGGAGAGCAAGUUGGAAGGGACCAUGACGAGGAGAAUUGCCCCCCAAACCUUGACUACAAUGUUAUAGAGGAAAUCGCCAACGGUGUGGAGAAGAUGAUAUUGUCCUGGUCUCAUCUCGAUGAAGACGAGCAGGACCAUAAAAAAAGUACUGUGAAGAACGAGAACUUGACUCCAAAGAAUGAUGAUGUUUCCCGUGACGAUAGCCGAUCUCGAAAGAUGGAAAAUCCUGAGGCAGUUUGCGAGGACUCGAAAUAUAGUUGUGACUAUUAUUCGUGCAAACAGAUUCAAGAACUUCCGGAAGAGGGAGCAGUGAAGGUAGAAAUUCCUGGCGGCAUCACAAAUGAGAUAUCUUUGAGUGGUAUCUGCUCAGGAGGUAGAAUGGGGAAUGCAAUCAACAAGAUUAGAAACGAGGCCGAGAAGCACAGCGGUACGAUGAUGACUAGCGAUACACGACCAGAGAAGUCUCUGACAAAAACUGCCACACAUUGUUGCUUGGAAGCAAGCACUGCCCCAUUGGAUACGUGCAGUUUGAGUGUUUGUACCAACGAAUCAACAGGAAUCAAAAGUACAAGCGCGGGCAUUACUGAUGUCGAGGACUCGUCGCCUCAGGGUCUCCAUCAAAAGCGGGCCCGUGAGCCUAACAAACUACCAUGCACAGACAAUUCCACUUCGGGGCACUCUUCGAACACUCAAUCGUCCCCCCGAACACCUCCCAUCAGUGAGAGGUUCGCGAAGCGUGUGCAAAGUCGAGAGGACAUCUCCGAAAAGAAGCUACAGCUUUCCAUAAGCAAGAAAACAAGAUGGUCUGAGAAAGAUACAACAGCGCCGAUUAUUGGAGCAAGCUGCUCUGAGGACGAAGUUUGCACCAAGAGUCCACGGAGUGACUGCUCUCUGUCAGACCUCCUGUCGAAUUCAAACUGGAACGAUCCUCUAGUUGGCAGCCCAUGUCGAAAAUCUUCCCCUGUAUUGAUUGAUAGGAUCCAAGGUGAAGAAUUUGGCCCUUGGGACAAUGUUGCUGGUCGUCCCCCUGUCAUAGUUUCUCGAGUCACGGCAAGAUCCGAUUCAAAUUUAGAGAAUUGUGCCAAAGAGAAGACCAGCUUUGUCUCUUUCAAGCUAUGGAAAAGCAAGCAGAGCGAGUCGGGCCAUGAUGGCAUUGAAGAGACUGACUCAAACAAAGAGAAGCUGCAUCUAUCUCAAACAAUUGUUUCAGAAUUUCAUCAAGGCUCGCCUGAAGAUCACUCCAAAUGCCAAGACAGUGAAGCAGCCGAUUACACCCUAGUUACUUCUCCAACAUCUGACAUGCUGAAUAUCGGUGAUAGAAGUUGGGGGGAGAUGGAGAAGCUGCAGAUCUCUUUGCUCGAAUGUGCAACUGAGUACGAACUCAAGACGAUUGAGAUGAAACUGAAGCUCAAAAACAUCAAAAACUUGAAGGGUGAGCAACUGAUUAUCGAUCCUCAGCCGACGAUCUCGGAGAUACCAGAAGCAGACGUCGCCAGUACCAGAAAACCAACUGUUGCGGCAUCCACGGUGGAGAAGGUGAAGAGGCAAAUUUACAAGCUGCAGCAUCAAAAAGGGUGCCUGUCAAAGGAGCUGACAGAUUUGAAGAAAAAAGAAAAACAGUUUGAGCUGCAGAAGAAGAGCUUAGAUGCAGCGCUGCAUAAGCUGGACCGACUUGAGUGGGCGAUGGUGAAGAAGGAGCAGGAAGUGGAAGAAUGGCAGCUACGACAAAGGCAGGCUGAGGCGCAGCUGCGAGGUUCGGUGAUGGAGUUGCGAAGAUUUACCAACAUUAGCGAACUUGUAGGUCUUCCUGUAGAUGCGACUUCCUUGCUCUCUCUGCUUCCUACUUUGCGAGGCUUCGUACAGCUGUUGGCUCAGAAGUUUGGCAGGAGAAAGACGGAUAUCACAGUAAUGACAAAUCUCAGCGAGAGGACACUCUUCAUGAUUCCAUUGAAGUAGAUGAAAUCGUCUGUAAUUUGAUGCACGAGAUUCAGGGUUUGCAAACUGAGCUGAAUGGGAUGGUUACUGAAGAUUCGAAGCUUAAACGAAUUACCCCAAGGUUAACUAAUGGUGCGGGUAAAGAUCGUGGUACUCACAAAAAAUCUGUGCGGCCCUCCUUACGACUUCCAAGAGGCCGGUAUCCGUAUGGAAACCUUUGAUCAACCCAUCAAACUUUCGAAGAUCAUUUUUUUCUUUUUUUCUUUUUUGCCUCCAGGGAUAUGUUGGAACUGAGUGCAGCGAAGUGAAUGAGCUUAAAGCUUUAACAAAGUCAGCAUGUUACAACAAUUGGGAAGUGCUUGGGAGAGAAGAUACAAAAGCAUAAAAACUCAAGGUCUAUAUUAUCCGUUUUCAGUGUAAGAAAUCACACAAGCAUUGCGGACAACAAUAAUCCCACUCAACCUGCACUUACCCUAACGGUUCUUGUCACUCUUACCGCCAACCUAACAAAACGUAAUCUUCAGUAAAAAUAUUUGUUGGAGAAAGCAACAUAUCUCCAGUGAUCCGCGAAUUCAAGUACUUUCAACGGCAGUUACUUCAAGAUGUUAUAGAAUGUAGUUGCCCUCUUGCGCAAAGGUGUACAGACUUCCUGUAAGUACAAGCAACAGGCAUAGACUUAAGCAAUCAAAUGUAUGAAACAAAAACCUAAAAAAGCUUCAGACAUCCGCAAGAAUAUCUCUUCCAGCUUCAUAUAA